This 485-nucleotide ribosomal RNA is filed under the name uncultured bacterium. RNAcentral describes it as "bacterial SSU rRNA". It matches the Rfam family "Bacterial small subunit ribosomal RNA", at positions 37 to 522 of the family's 1533-position model. The record is from RNAcentral.
UGGCGGCGUGCCUCAAACAUGCAAGUCGAGCGUGGGCAGAUUGCCUCGCAAGAGGUGAUCUGCUCUAGCGGCGGACGGGUGCGUAACACGUGGGGAACCAACCCUCCAGAUGGGGACAACCUCGGGAAACCGGGGCUAAUACCGAAUACGCUUGCCGGGUCGCAUGGCCUGGUAAGGAAAGGAUCGCAAGAUCGCUGGAGGACGGUCCCGCGGCCUAUCAGCUAGUUGGCGAGGUAACGGCCCACCAAGGCGAUNACGGGUAGCUGGCCUGAGAGGGUGGUCAGCCACACUGGAACUGAGACACGGUCCAGACUCCUACGGGAGGCAGCAGUUGGGAAUUUUGGGCAAUGGGCGCAAGCCUGAACCANCGACGCCCNCGUGGGGGGAUGAAAGCCUUCGGGUUGUAAANCCCUGUCAGGAGGGACAACCGCAAGGUGACGGUACCUCCAGAAGAAGCCCGGCUAACUACUUCCACAGCCGCGGUA